GAUGAACGCUGGCGGCGUGCCUAAUACAUGCAAGUCGAGCGAACAGAUGAGGAGCUUGCUCCUCUGACGUUAGCGGCGGACGGGUGAGUAACACGUGGAUAACCUACCUAUAAGACUGGGAUAACUUCGGGAAACCGGAGCUAAUACCGGAUAAUAUAUUGAACCGCAUGGUUCAAUAGUGAAAGACGGUUUUGCUGUCACUUAUAGAUGGAUCCGCGCCGCAUUAGCUAGUUGGUAAGGUAACGGCUUACCAAGGGAACGAUGCGUAGGCGACCUGAGAGGGUGAUAGGCGACAGUGGAACUGAGCCGCGGACCAGGGUACUACGGGAGGCACCAGGAGGGAAUGUUGGGCAAUGGGCGAAAGUAUGACGGAGCAACGCCGCGUGAGUGAUGAAGGUCUUCGGAUCGUAAAACUCUGUUAUUAGGGAUGAACAAAUGUGUACGGAAAUAUACACGUAGUGACGGUAACUAAUAAGAAAGCCACGGCUAACUACGUG
This 497-nucleotide ribosomal RNA is filed under the name uncultured bacterium. RNAcentral describes it as "partial 16S ribosomal RNA". It matches the Rfam family "Bacterial small subunit ribosomal RNA", at positions 28 to 507 of the family's 1533-position model. The record is from RNAcentral.